UAUCUCUGUAGAGUCUGCAUAUCAAUAAGCGGAGGAAAAGAAACUAACUAGGAUUCCCUCAGUAACGGCGAGUGAAGCGAGAAGAGCUCAAAUUUGAAAUCUUCAAGGUUCUACCUUGACGAAUUGUAGUUUAAAGAAGUGUUUUCUGUUGGUGUUUUGGUAAAAGUUCUUUGGAAUAGGACAUCAUAGAGGGUGAGAAUCCCGUAUUUGACCAUUACUUCCAGCGUUGUGAUACACUCUCAAAGAGUCGGAUUGUUUGGGAAUGCAGUCCAAAAUGGGUGGUAAAUUUCAUCUAAAGCUAAAUAUUGGCGAGAGACCGAUAGCGAACAAGUACCGUGAGGGAAAGAUGAAAAGAACUUUGAAAAGAGAGUUAAACAGUACGUGAAAUUGUCAAAAGGGAAGCGUUUGACACCAGUGUUGUUUUCUCGAAAAUCAAUUAAAGAAAGUUGAUUUAUGCUAAGUUGUUAGACCUUUAUCAGCUUAACUGUAGCUCUUUUCUUGAGCUUUUCUUAAUGCACUUUUCAGUUUAACAAGUCAACAUCAAUUUCUUUUGUUGUAAAAGAGUCAUUGAGGAAGGUGGCUUGCAGCUUCGUCUAGAGUGUUUAUAGCCUCUUGCUUCUGCAGUCGGAGAGAUUGAGGUCUGCAGCGUAGAUCCUUCGGGGCUAAGAUACUUAGAUGCUAAGUUAUAGCUUUUUAUAGACAACUUGUUGACUAUGAUUAAGUCAUGUAGCUUACUCGUUUGCGCUAUUUUACCUACGCUUAGGAUGUUGACGAUCAGCUGAGCGCG
This 787-nucleotide ribosomal RNA is filed under the name uncultured Neocallimastigales. Its description in RNAcentral is "partial large subunit ribosomal RNA". It matches the Rfam family "Eukaryotic large subunit ribosomal RNA", at positions 24 to 633 of the family's 3401-position model. Lineage: Eukaryota; Fungi; Neocallimastigomycota; Neocallimastigomycetes; Neocallimastigales. The record is from RNAcentral.